RNAcentral lists this ribosomal RNA (460 nucleotides) under uncultured bacterium. RNAcentral's name for it is "partial 16S ribosomal RNA". It matches the Rfam family "Bacterial small subunit ribosomal RNA", at positions 338 to 795 of the family's 1533-position model. The record is from RNAcentral.
CCUACGGGUGGCAGCAGUGAGGAAUAUUGGUCAAUGGGCGCGAGCCUGAACCAGCCAAGUAGCGUGAAGGAUGACUGCCCUACGGGUUGUAGACCUCUUUUAUAAAGGAAUAAAGUGAGGCACUUGUGCCUUUUUGUAUGUACUUUAUGAAUAAGGAUCGGCUAACUCCGUGCCAGCAGCCGCGGUAAUACGGAGGAUCCGAGCGUUAUCCGGAUUUAUUGGGUUUAAAGGGUGCGUAGAUGGGUCGUUAAGUCAGUUGUGAAAGUUUGUGGCUCAACCCUAACAGUGCAAUUGAAACUGGCAGCCGUGAGUACAGUUGAGGUAGGCGGAAUUCGUGGUGUAGCGGUGAAAUGCUUAGAUAUCGCGCAGAACCCCGAUUGCGAAGGCAGCCUACUAAGCUGCCACUGACAUUGAUGCUCGAAAGUGUGGGUAUCAAACAGGAUUAGAUACCCUAGUAGUC